UACGGAGGGGGCGAGCGUUAAUCGGAAUUACUGGGCGGAAAGCGCACGUAGGCGGCGAAGUAAGUCGGGGGUGAAAGCCCCGGGCUCAACCUGGGAAUUGCAUUCGAUACUGGAUUGCUGGAGUACGGAAGAGGAGGGUGGAAUUCCCGGUGUAGCGGUGAAAUGCGUAGAUAUUGGGAGGAACACCAGUGGCGAAGGCGGCUCCCUGGUCCAGUACUGACACUCAAGUGAGAAAGCGUGGGGAGCAAACAGG
Molecule: ribosomal RNA, 253 nt
Filed under: uncultured bacterium
Lineage: Bacteria
Description: partial 16S ribosomal RNA
Rfam family: Bacterial small subunit ribosomal RNA
Source: RNAcentral